AGUUUGUGAGAUAGUGUAGCAGCAGCUUUUCAGGGACUGUGGAAAAUCACAACACACAUCUGGCACCAGGCUUCACCCUUAAGGACCUUGUUCCAGCACCAGCGAAUGUGGCCGCCUUCUGGGGUCUGCUGGGACCAGGUGGCUUCAACAGUCUCUACCAAAUGUCCUUCCAGCAGUGGAACUGCUUUUCCCUGCGUGGCCCGAGAACCUCCUGGACCCCACUCUGUUCCUGGGGAUUCGCCCUUCCCACCAGAGCACCUCCAGCUCCUGGUAAACACCACUGCAGUCUUUGAUUCCAUGGAUUUAACUACUUGAGAUACCUCAGGUAAGUAGAACCAUGCACUAUUUGUUUUUCUGUAACUGGUUUAUUUCACUCGGCACAGUGUUCUCAAGGUUCAUCCAUGUUGUCCCAUAUUGCAUAUUUUCCAUCUUUUUAAGCCCAAGUGGUAUUUCACUGUGCGUGCAUACCACAUUUUCUUUACUCAUUCAUCCAUCAGUGGACCGUAAGGUUGUUUUCACUUCUUGGCUAUUGUGAGUAGUGUGGCAGUGAACGUAAGGGUGCUAAUAUGCCUUUGAGAUCCUGAUUUCAAUUCUUUUGGAUAAAUACUCAGCAGUGGAACUGGUGGAUCAUAUGGUGGUUAAGAGGUUAAUAUUCAAAAUAUAUAAGGAACGCCUAUAGCUCAGUUAGCAUAAUGCCCCUAAUAAUCUGAUUAAAAAUAGGCUGAGGGCUUGAACAGAUAUUUUGCCAAGGAAGACGUAAGUUGGCCAACAAAUACAUUU
This is a long non-coding RNA of Acinonyx jubatus (cheetah), 780 nucleotides long. RefSeq lists it as uncharacterized. The record is from RefSeq and is a predicted model, not a curated record. NCBI's taxonomy places the organism in Eukaryota, Metazoa, Chordata, Mammalia, Carnivora, Felidae. The transcript has 2 exons.